RNAcentral lists this ribosomal RNA (464 nucleotides) under uncultured Klebsiella sp. Its description in RNAcentral is "bacterial SSU rRNA". It matches the Rfam family "Bacterial small subunit ribosomal RNA", at positions 338 to 795 of the family's 1533-position model. Lineage: Bacteria; Pseudomonadati; Pseudomonadota; Gammaproteobacteria; Enterobacterales; Enterobacteriaceae. The record is from RNAcentral.
CCUACGGGUGGCAGCAGUGGGGAAUAUUGCACAAUGGGCGCAAGCCUGAUGCAGCCAUGCCGCGUGUGUGAAGAAGGCCUUCGGGUUGUAAAGCACUUUCAGCGGGGAGGAAGGCGGUGAGGUUAAUAACCUCAUCGAUUGACGUUACCCGCAGAAGAAGCACCGGCUAACUCCGUGCCAGCAGCCGCGGUAAUACGGAGGGUGCAAGCGUUAAUCGGAAUUACUGGGCGUAAAGCGCACGCAGGCGGUCUGUCAAGUCGGAUGUGAAAUCCCCGGGCUCAACUGGGAACUGCAUUCGAAACUGGCAGGCUAGAGUCUUGUAGAGGGGGGUAGAAUUCCAGGUGUAGCGGUGAAAUGCGUAGAGAUCUGGAGGAAUACCGGUGGCGAAGGCGGCCCCCUGGACAAAGACUGACGCUCAGGUGCGAAAGCGUGGGGAGCAAACAGGAUUAGAUACCCCAGUAGUC